UACGUAGGCAGCAAGCGUUGUUCGGAAUUACUGGGCGUAAAGAGUGUGUAGGUGGUGUCGUAAGUUUGGUGUGAAAUCUCCCGGCUUAACUGGGAGGGUGCGCCGAAGACUGCGAUGCUGGAGUAUGGGAGAGGAAAGCGGAAUUCCUGGCGUAGCGGUGAAAUGCGUAGAUAUCAGGAGGAACACCUGCGGUGUAGACGGCUUUCUGGACCAUUACUGACACUGAGACACGAAAGCGUGGGUAGCAAACAGG
RNAcentral lists this ribosomal RNA (253 nucleotides) under uncultured bacterium. Its description in RNAcentral is "partial 16S ribosomal RNA". It matches the Rfam family "Bacterial small subunit ribosomal RNA", at positions 524 to 776 of the family's 1533-position model. The record is from RNAcentral.